GUUGAUGCAGAGACCGUGGUGGGCCUGGCCCGGGACCUGGAACCACUGAAGCGGACAGAGGAAGAGCCACUGGAAGAGCCACUGGAUGAGGCCCUAGUGCGGACAGUCGCCCUAAGCAGUGCAGGUGUCUUGAGCCCUAUGGUGGCCAUGCUGGGUGCAGUAGCUGCCCAGGAAGUGCUGAAGGCAAUCUCCAGGAAGUUCAUGCCUCUGGACCAGUGGCUUUACUUUGAUGCCCUCGAUUGUCUUCCGGAAGAUGGGGAGCUCCUUCCCAGUCCUGAGGACUGUGCCCCGAGAGGCAGCCGCUAUGAUGGGCAAAUUGCAGUGUUUGGGGCUGGUUUUCAGGAGAAACUGAGACGCCAGCACUACCUCCUGGUGAGCUGUGGGGUGACACUGGGGGUGCCUUUGGGAGAGCCAGCCCAGCCCCUCUGGCUAAGGCUGUUCCUGCCAACAGGUGGGCGCUGGUGCCAUUGGUUGUGAGCUGCUCAAAAUCUUUGCCCUAGUGGGACUGGGGGCCGGGAACAGCGGGGGCUUGACUGUUGUUGACAUGGACCACAUAGAGCGCUCCAAUCUCAGCCGUCAGUUCCUCUUCAGGUCCCAGGACGUUGGUGUGAGUGCUGACCCCUCUCCACACUCCUGCAUCCCAGACCGUCCUCCCAUACAGCUU
This 664-nucleotide small RNA is filed under the name Pan troglodytes (chimpanzee). RNAcentral's name for it is "retained intron". Lineage: Eukaryota; Metazoa; Chordata; Mammalia; Primates; Hominidae. The record is from RNAcentral.